Molecule: ribosomal RNA, 487 nt
Filed under: uncultured bacterium
Lineage: Bacteria
Description: bacterial SSU rRNA
Rfam family: Bacterial small subunit ribosomal RNA
Source: RNAcentral
UUGAACGCUGGCGGCAUGCCUAACACAUGCAAGUCGAACGGUAACGCGGAGAGCUUGCUCUCUGGCGACGAGUGGCGGACGGGUGAGUAAUACUUAGGAAUCUGCCCAGUAGUGGGGGACAACAUUCGGAAACGGAUGCUAAUACCGCAUACGCACUACGGUGGAAAGUGGGGGAUCUUCGGACCUCACGCUAUUGGAUGAGCCUAAGUCGGAUUAGCUUGUUGGUGAGGUAAUGGCUCACCAAGGCGACGAUCCGUAGCUGGUCUGAGAGGACGAUCAGCCACACUGGGACUGAGACACGGCCCAGACUCCUACGGGAGGCAGCAGUGGGGAAUAUUGGACAAUGGGCGCAAGCCUGAUCCAGCAAUGCCGCGUGUGUGAAGAAGGCCUGCGGGUUGUAAAGCACUUUCAGUAGAGAAGAAAAGCCUAGGGUUAAUACCCCUGAGUCUUGACGUAACCUACAGAAGAAGCACCGGCUAACUCCGUG